UAUGGCAGAUAAGUGCAAAGGUAUUAAAAUCCUUAUAUAAAGAAAAUUCUUUUAUUAAAA
Molecule: transfer RNA, 60 nt
Filed under: Cardiocondyla kagutsuchi
Lineage: Eukaryota; Metazoa; Arthropoda; Insecta; Hymenoptera; Formicidae
Description: tRNA-Leu
Source: RNAcentral